AUGCAGACCUCCAGUGUAUUUUGGAUUGCAGUGCCUAGCAUGACAGUUAACCGACUGUCCUCAAUUGUUGUCACCACCACAAGUGCUCCUACUACAACAACUACUGCUCCUACUAAAACAACUACUGCUCAUACUACAACAACUACAGCUCCUACUACAACAACUACAGCUCCUACUACAACAACUACAGCUCCUACUACAACAACUACUGCUCCUACUAAAACAACUACUGCUCAUACUACAACAACUACAGCUCCUACUACAACAACUACAGCUCCUAAUAAAACAACUACAGCUCCUAAUAACACAACUACAGCUCCUAAUAACACAACUACAGCUCCUAGAACAACAACUACAGCUCCUACUACAACAACUACAGCUCCUACUACAACAACUAUUGCUCCUAAUACAACAACAACCACAGCUCCUAAAACAACAACUACAGCUCCUAAUACAAAAACUUCUGCGACAACAGGUACUGCUACUAAUACAACAAAUAUUGCUCCUACUAAAACAACUACAGCUCCUAAUACAACAACUACAACUCCUAAUACAAUAACUACAGCUCCUACUACAACGACUACUGCUCCUAAAACAACAAUUACAGCUCCUAAAACAACAACAACAGCUCCUACUACAACAACUACUGCUCCUACUAAAACAACUACUGCUUCUACUAAAACAACUACAGGUCCUAAUACAACAACAACUACUGCUCCCAAUACAACAAUUACAGCUCCUAAUACUACAACAACUAAAGCUCCUACUAAAACACCUACAGCUCCAACUACAACAACAACUACUGCUCCUAAUACAACAACUACCGCUCCUACGACAACAACUACUGCUCCGACAAAAACAACUACUGCUCCUAAUACAACAACUACAGCACCUACGACAACAACUACUGCUCCGACAAAAACAACUACUGCUCCUACUACAAUCAAUACAGCUCCUACUACAACAACAACUACAGCUCCUAAUACAACUACAACUCCUACUACAACAACUACAGCUCCUACUACAACAACUACUGCUCCUACUAAAACAACUACUGCUCCUACUACAACAACUACAACUCCUGCUACAACAACUACAGCUCCUAAUAAAACAACUACAGCUCCUAAUAAAACAACUACAGCUCCUAAUAAAACAACUACAGCUCCUAAUACAACAACAACUACAGCUCCCAAAACAACAACUACAGCUCCUAAUACAACAACAACUACAGCACCUACUACAACAACUACUGCUCCAACUACAACAACUACAGCUCCUACUACAACAACUACAGCUCAUAAUAAAACAACUACAGCUCCUAAUAAAACAACCACAGCUCCUAAUAAAACAACUACAGCUCCUAAUAAAACAACUACAGCUCCUAAUACAACAACAACUACAGCUCCUACUACAACAACUACAGCUCCUAGAACAACAACUACAGCUCCUACUACAACAACUACAGCUCCUACUACAACAACAACUACAGCUCCUAAUACAACUACAGCUCCUAGAACAACAACUACAGCUCCUACUACAACAACAACUACUGCUCCUACUACAACAACUACUGCUCCUACUAAAACAACUACUGCUCCUACUACAACAACUACAACUCCUGCUACAACAACUACAGCUCCUAAUAAAACAACUACAGCUCCUAAUAAAACAACUACAGCUCCUAAUAAAACAACUACAGCUCCUAAUACAACAACAACUACAGCUCCCAAAACAACAACUACAGCUCCUAAUACAACAACAACUACAGCUCCUACUACAACAACUACAGCUCCUAGAACAACAACUACAGCUCCUACUACAACAACUACAGCUCCUACUACAACAACUACAGCUCCUACUACAACAACUACAGCUCCUAAUAAAACAACUACAGCUCCUAAUAAAACAACUACAACUCCUAAUACAAUAACUACAGCUCCUACUACAACAACUACUGCUCCUAAAACAACAAUUACAGCUCCUAAUACAACAACUACUGCUCCUACUAAAACAACUACUGCUUCUACUAAAACAACUACAGGUCCUAAUACAACAACAACUACUGCUCCUAAUACAACAAUUACAGCUCCUAAUACUACAACAACUAAAGCUCCUACUAAAACACCUACAGCUCCAACUACAACAACAACUACUGCUCCUAAUACAACAACUACAGCUCCUACGACAACAACUACUGCUCCGACAAAAACAACUACUGCUCCUAAUACAACAACUACAGCACCUACGACAACAACUACUGCUCCGACAAAAACAACUACUGCUCCUACUACAAUCAAUACAGCUCCUACUACAACAACAACUACAGCUCCUAAUACAACUACAGCUCCUAGAACAACAACUACAACUCCUACUACAACAACUACAGCUCAUACGACAACAACUACUGCUCCGACUAAAACAACCACUGCUCCUACUAUAACAACUAGAGCUCCUACUACAACAACUACUGCUCCUAGUAAAACAACUACUGCUCCUACUACAACAACUACAACUCCUGCUACAACAACUACAGCUGCUACAACAACUACAGCUCCUAAUAAAACAACUACAGCUCCUAAUAAAACAACUACAGCUCCUAAUAAAACAACUACAGCUCCUAAUACAACAACAACUACAGCUCCCAAAACAACAUCUACAGCUCCUAAUACAACAACAACUACAUCACCUACUACAACAACUACUGCUCCAACUACAACAACUACAGCUCCUACUACAACAACUACAGCUCAUAAUAAAACAACUACAGCUCCUAAUAAAACAACCACAGCUCCUAAUAAAACAACUACAGCUCCUAAUAAAACAACUACAGCUCCUAAUACAACAACAACUACAGCACCUACUACAACAACUACUGCUCCAACUACAACAACUACAGCUCCUACUACAACAACUACAGCUCAUAAUAAAACAACUACAGCUCCUAAUAAAACAACCACAGCUCCUAAUAAAACAACUACAGCUCCUAAUAAAACAACUACAGCUCCUAAUACAACAACAACUACAGCUCCCAAAACAACAACUACAGCUCCUAAUACAACAACAACUACAGCACCUACUACAACAACUACUGCUCCUACUAAAACAACUACUGCUCCGACUACAACAACUAAAGCUCCUACUAAAACACCUACAGCUCCUACUACAACAACAACUACUGCUCCUACUACAACAACUACUGCUCCUACUACAACAACUACAGCUCCUAAUACAACAACUACAGUUCCUAAUACAAACACUUCUGUGACAACAGGUACUGCUACUAAUACAACAACUACUGCUCCUACUAAAACAACUACUGCUUCUACUAAAACAACUACAGCUCCCAAAACAACAACUACAGCUCCUAAUACAACAACAACUACAGCACCUACUACAACAACUACUGCUCCUACUAAAACAACUACUGCUCCGACUACAACAACUAAAGCUCCUACUAAAACACCUACAGCUCCUACUACAACGACAACUACUGCUCCUAAUACAACAAUUACAGCUCCCAAUACAACAACUACAGCUCCUAAUACAACAACAACAGCUCCUACUACAACAACUACUGCUCCUACUAAAACAACAACUGCUCCGACUACAACAACUAAAGCUCCUACUAAAACACCUACAGCUCCUACUAAAACAACAACUAAAGCUCCUAAUACAACUACAGCUCCUAGAACAACAACUACAACUCCUACUACCACAACUACAGCUCAUACGACAACAACUACUGCUCCGACUAAAACAACCACUGCUCCUACUAUAACAACUACAGCUCCUACUACAACAACUACUGCUCCUACUAAAACAACUACUGCUCCUACUACAACAACUACAACUCCUGCUACAACAACUACAGCUCCUAGAACAACAACUACAGCUCCUAAUACAACAACUACUGCUCCGAAUACAACAACAACUACAGCUCCUAAAACAACUACUACAGCUCCCAAAAUAACAACAACUACAGCUCCUAAUACAACAACUACAGUUCCUAAAACAAAAACUUCUGCUACAACAGGUACUGCUACUAAUACAACAAAUACAGCUCCUACUAAAACAACACCAGAUCCUAAUUCAACAACAAUAGCUCCUACUACAACAACUACUGCUCCUACUAAAACAACUACUGCUCCGACUACAACAUCUAAAGCUCCUACUAAAACACCUACAGCUCCUACUACAACAACAACUACUGCUCCUAAUACAACAACUACAACUCCUACUACAACAACUACAGCUCCUACUACAACAACUACAGCUCCUCGACCAACAACUACAGCUCCUACUACAACAACUACAGCUCCUACAACUACAGCUCCUACUACAACAACUACUGCUCCUACUACAACAACUACAGCUCCUACUACAACAACUACAGCUCCUAAUAAAACAACUACAGCUCCUAAUAAAACAACCACAGCUCCUAAUAAAACAACCACAGAUCCUAAAACAACAACUACACCUCCUAAUACAACAACUUCAGUUCUAAAAACAAAAACUUCUGCUACAACAAUUACUGCUACUACUACAACAACUACUGCUCCUACAUAA
This is a long non-coding RNA of Oncorhynchus mykiss (rainbow trout), 4566 nucleotides long. Lineage: Eukaryota; Metazoa; Chordata; Actinopteri; Salmoniformes; Salmonidae. The record is from Ensembl.